UACGUAGGUGGCACUCGUUGUCCGGAAUUAUUGGGCGUAAAGCGCGCGCCGGCGGUCUUUUAAGUCUGAUGUGAAAGCCCACGGCUCAACCGUGGAGGGUCAUUGGAAACUGGGAGACUUGAGUGCAGAAGAGAAGAGUGGAAUUCCACGUGUAGCGGUGAAAUGCGUAGAGAUGUGGAGGAACACCAGUGGCGAAGGCGACUCUGUGGUCUGUAACUGACGCUGAGGCGCGAAAGCGUGGGGAGCAAACAGG
Molecule: ribosomal RNA, 253 nt
Filed under: uncultured bacterium
Lineage: Bacteria
Description: partial 16S ribosomal RNA
Rfam family: Bacterial small subunit ribosomal RNA
Source: RNAcentral